UGCAGUCGAACGAGGUCUCGUCUGAUGAUCGGUGCUUGCACCGAGAUUCAACAUGGAACGAGUGGCGGACGGGUGAGUAACACGUGGGUAACCUGCCCUUAAGUGGGGGAUAACAUUUGGAAACAGAUGCUAAUACCGCAUAGAUCCAAGAACCGCAUGGUUCUUGGCUGAAAGAUGGCGUAAGCUAUCGCUUUUGGAUGGACCCGCGGCGUAUUAGCUAGUUGGUGAGGUAAUGGCUCACCAAGGCGAUGAUACGUAGCCGAACUGAGAGGUUGAUCGGCCACAUUGGGACUGAGACACGGCCCAAACUCCUACGGGAGGCAGCAGUAGGGAAUCUUCCACAAUGGACGCAAGUCUGAUGGAGCAACGCCGCGUGAGUGAAGAAGGCUUUCGGGUCGUAAAACUCUGUUGUUGGAGAAGAAUGGUCGGCAGAGUAACUGUUGUCGGCGUGACGGUAUCCAACCAGAAAGCCACGGCUAACUACGGGCCAGCAGCCGCGGUAAUACGUAGGUGGCAAGCGUUAUCCGGAUUUAUUGGGCGUAAAGCGAGCGCAGGCGGUUUUUUAAGUCUGAUGUGAAAGCCCUCGGCUUAACCGAGGAAGCGCAUCGGAAACUGGGAAACUUGAGUGCAGAAGAGGACAGUGGAACUCCAUGUGUAGCGGUGAAAUGCGUAGAUAUAUGGAAGAACACCAGUGGCGAAGGCGGCUGUCUGGUCUGUAACUGACGCUGAGGCUCGAAAGCAUGGGUAGCGAACAGGAUUAGAUACCCUGGUAGUCCAUGCCGUAAACGAUGAAUGCUAGGUGUUGGAGGGUUUCCGCCCUUCAGUGCCGCAGCUAACGCAUUAAGCAUUCCGCCUGGGGAGUACGACCGCAAGGUUGAAACUCAAAGGAAUUGACGGGGGCCCGCACAAGCGGUGGAGCAUGUGGUUUAAUUCGAAGCAACGCGAAGAACCUUACCAGGUCUUGACAUCUUUUGAUCACCUGAGAGAUCAGGUUUCCCCUUCGGGGGCAAAAUGACAGGUGGUGCAUGGUUGUCGUCAGCUCGUGUCGUGAGAUGUUGGGUUAAGUCCCGCAACGAGCGCAACCCUUAUGACUAGUUGCCAGCAUUUAGUUGGGCACUCUAGUAAGACUGCCGGUGACAAACCGGAGGAAGGUGGGGAUGACGUCAAAUCAUCAUGCCCCUUAUGACCUGGGCUACACACGUGCUACAAUGGAUGGUACAACGAGUUGCGAGACCGCGAGGUCAAGCUAAUCUCUUAAAGCCAUUCUCAGUUCGGACUGUAGGCUGCAACUCGCCUACACGAAGUCGGAAUCGCUAGUAAUCGCGGAUCAGCACGCCGCGGUGAAUACGUUCCCGGGCCUUGUACACACCGCCCGUCACACCAUGAGAGUUUGUAACACCCGAAGCCGGUGGCGUAACCCUUUUAGGGAGCGAGCCGUCU
Molecule: ribosomal RNA, 1440 nt
Filed under: Lacticaseibacillus paracasei
Lineage: Bacteria; Bacillati; Bacillota; Bacilli; Lactobacillales; Lactobacillaceae
Description: bacterial SSU rRNA
Rfam family: Bacterial small subunit ribosomal RNA
Source: RNAcentral